RNAcentral lists this ribosomal RNA (388 nucleotides) under uncultured bacterium. RNAcentral describes it as "bacterial SSU rRNA". It matches the Rfam family "Bacterial small subunit ribosomal RNA", at positions 28 to 418 of the family's 1533-position model. The record is from RNAcentral.
GACGAACGCUGGCGGCGUGCUUAACACAUGCAAGUCGAGCGGUAAGGCCCUUUCGGGGGUACACGAGCGGCGAACGGGUGAGUAACACGUGGGUGACCUGCCCUCAGCUCUGGGAUAAGCCUGGGAAACUGGGUCUAAUACUGGAUAUGACUCCACGGUGCAUGUCGUGGGGUGGAAAGCCUUGUGCGGCUGAGGAUGGGCCCGCGGCCUAUCAGCUUGUUGGUGGGGUGAGGCCUACCAAGGCGACGACGGGUAGCCGGCCUGAGAGGGCGACCGGCCACACUGGGACUGAGACACGGCCCAGACUCCUACGGGAGGCAGCAGUGGGGAAUAUUGGACAAUGGGCGAAAGCCUGAUCCAGCAAUGCCGCGUGUGUGAAGAAGGCCUG